AAAUUAUGCAAAAUAAAAAAAAUAUAUUUACAAAAAUGUUAACAUCAUUUUCAAAAUAGUGUUUAUCUACAACACCAGGUAUAUUCUGCAGAACCCCUGCAGUACAAUUCUUGGAUUUGUAGUUGAUUUUCCACUAAAGACAUACAAGUAUAUGCUACUAUAACUACUACGCAAAAUAGAGGUAAGGUAAUAGUAAACUAAUCAAUCUUAUAAAUAUCGACUUAAUAAGCAUAUUUUCCAAUAAUUAUUAAAAAUUAUGUAAAUUUUCAAAUGAUCUUAAUAGUAUAUAGCAAAUAAAAUAUACUAUUAUGUACCUACGUGAAUUGUAUAAAUUGGCAUUAGUUUAUUGAACACAGAUUAGUCUAUUUUUAGGAUUUAUUUCUCAUUGGAUUUACAGUAAUUUUAAGACGUUCGGUUAGGCAAUGUAAUACUAUUAUAGUGUGCAACUUCAAAGCUCUAUUUAUAAUUUGUUUGUAGUUAGUGUUUCACGAUAGACUAUAUACUGUCCACGUGUUGCAUUAAAACACAUGCGCUGCUGUAUGGGGUCCUAUGUAAGAAUAAAAAAAAUUGUAUUGACGAAUUAAGGUCAAGGCAAAUAUAGCUUAGGCACAAUAUAAAUUAGAAUAAUUAUGUCAUGAUAGAACAUUAGUAAAUAUGGGAAGUAUACGAUUUCAAUAAUGAUAACAAUUUAAUAAUUAAAUAUUAGGUAUAUGGUUCACUGUAUAGAUUAGUGAUUUAUAUGUUUAAGUAGGCUCUUAUUAAUGUAUUGUACAAUUCUCACUUAAAAUGGCACGAAAGCGGAAUGUGUAUGGGUAGAAUAAUUAAGUUGACAUACACACGUAAUGGGUAUCGACCUAGGUAUCUAUACAGAGAAGAAGAUGACCAGCGACACUAUAAUACUAAAUACAUAUGGUAUUACAUAUGGUAACACUAAAUACUAUGGUCUAUGAUGAGUAUUAAGUUAUAUCGUUGUGUACAUGCAUGCAGUUGAGUACAACUAUAAUAUUAUACAUUAUUCAUUAUAUAGAUGAUGGCAAUCACUAUGUUACAAUCACUGCUUAGUGCUUAUGCCUUAUAUUAUAAUAUAUUAUAUGUAUUAUAUUUUGUAUUUUAAUUAUGCCUAUUGCUUACACAUUAACGUACAGGUCACAGAUGUAUAAAUAUAUAUAUACAUGUGUAAACGUCACUUAAAAUAUGUUUAUGCAAUUUGUUUGUUGUAUACCAUUGAAUAGUGCAAUAUCGAGAUGCGUAUUUUCACAUAGUGCAGUUGCCAAUUUCUAUACGCACACACGGCAGUGCAAUAGCUAUGCAUACAUAGACGAACCACGCUCAUAAACAAACAGUUAAUAAAUCAUUUAGUCACGUUCGAACAAUAUAUAGGUACGAAAAUAUUUACGUGCCUUGAUCUCUUCGUCCGGCGUUUCGUUUUUCACC
Molecule: long non-coding RNA, 1434 nt
Organism: Myzus persicae (green peach aphid)
Lineage: Eukaryota; Metazoa; Arthropoda; Insecta; Hemiptera; Aphididae
Exons: 3
Source: RefSeq, a predicted model, not a curated record